GACGAACGCUGGCGGCGUGCUUAACACAUGCAAGUCGAACGGUGAAGCGCUUUCCUUUUUGGUUGGUGUGGAUGAGUGGCGAACGGGUGAGUAACACGUGAGUAACCUGCCCCCUUCUUCUGGAUAACCGCAUGAAAGUGUGGCUAAUACGGGAUAUUCUGCGCCUGCUGCAUGGUGGGCGUGGGAAAGAUUGUGCCUUUGGGUGUUUUCGGUGGGGGAUGGGCUCGCGGCCUAUCAGCUUGUUGGUGGGGUGAUGGCCUACCAAGGCGGUGACGGGUAGCCGGCCUGAGAGGGUGGACGGUCACACUGGGACUGAGACACGGCCCAGACUCCUACGGGAGGCAGCAGUGGGGAAUAUUGCACAAUGGGCGCAAGCCUGAUGCAGCGACGCCGCGUGAGGGAUGGAGGCCUUCGGGUUGUGAACCUCUUUCGCCAGUGAAGCAGGCCUGCUCCUUGUGGGUGGGUUGACGGUAGCUGGAUAAGAAGCGCCGGCUAACUACGUG
This 503-nucleotide ribosomal RNA is filed under the name uncultured bacterium. Its description in RNAcentral is "partial 16S ribosomal RNA". It matches the Rfam family "Bacterial small subunit ribosomal RNA", at positions 28 to 507 of the family's 1533-position model. The record is from RNAcentral.